Molecule: ribosomal RNA, 675 nt
Filed under: uncultured soil bacterium
Lineage: Bacteria
Description: bacterial SSU rRNA
Rfam family: Bacterial small subunit ribosomal RNA
Source: RNAcentral
AGUCGAACGAGAAAGUGGAGCAAUCCAUGAGUAAAGUGGCGUACGGGUGAGUAACACGUGGAUAACCUGCCCCUUUGUGGGGAAUACCGUUGGGAAACCGACGACAAUACCGCAUAAGCUCGAGAGAGGAAAGCAGCAAUGCGCAGAGGGAGGGGUCCGCGGCCGAUUAGCUAGUUGGUAGGGUAAUGGCCUACCAAGGCUGUGAUCGGUAGCCGGCCUGAGAGGGCACACGGCCACACUGGCACUGAAACACGGGCCAGACUCCUACGGGAGGCAGCAGUGGGGAAUCUUGCACAAUGGGGGAAACCCUGAUGCAGCGACGCCGCGUGAGCGAUGAAGCCCUUCGGGGUGUAAAGCUCUUUCGGCAGGGAAGAUUAUGACGGUACCUGCAGAGGCAGCUGCGGCUAACUACGUGCCAGCAGCCGCGGUAAUACGUAGGCAGCAAGCGUUGUUCGGAGUUACUGGGCGUAAAGGGUGCGUAGGCGGUUCUGUAAGUAUGGUGUGAAAUCUCCCGGCUUAACUGGGAGGGUGCGCUAUAAACUGCGGGACUAGAGUGUGGGAGAGGAAAGUGGAAUUCCUGGUGUAGCGGUGAAAUGCGUAGAUAUCAGGAGGAACACCGGUGGUGUAAACGGCUUUCUGGACCAUAACUGACGCUGAGGCACGAAAGCGUGGGUA